GCCUCCCUAGCUCAGCAGGUAGCAGCGGCCGUCUCGUAAGCGGCAGGACGUCGGUUCGAUUCCGACGGGGGGCUCGA
Molecule: transfer RNA, 77 nt
Filed under: Deltaproteobacteria bacterium
Lineage: Bacteria; Pseudomonadati; Myxococcota; Myxococcia
Description: tRNA-Thr
Rfam family: tRNA
About the family: Transfer RNA (tRNA) molecules are approximately 80 nucleotides in length.
Source: RNAcentral